CCCCAUGGGGUCCCCAAUGUUCUCCUUGGGGUCCCCAAUGUCCCCUAUGGGUUCUCCAAGGGGACCCCAAUGUUCUCCAUGGGGUUCCUGAUGUUCUCCAUGGGGUUCCUGGUGUCCCCUAUGGGUUCUCCAAGAGGACCCCAACCUUCUUUAGGGUCCCUUAUGUUCCCCAUGGGGUCCCCAACGUUCUCCUUGGGGUCCCUGAUGUCCCCUAUGGGUUCUCCAAGGGGACCCCAAUGUUCUCCUUGGGGUUCCUGAUGUCCCCCAUGGGGUCCCCGAUGUCCCCAUGGGGUCCCCAAUGUUCUUGGGGUCCCCGACGUUCUCCCCGGGUUCCCUGGUGUCCCCCUGACGCUGUCCCCAUCUCGUCCCCAGUGCCACCACCAUGCCGCACCAGUACCCGGCGCUCACCCCCGAGCAGAAGCAGGAGCUCGCCGACAUCGCCCGGCGCAUCGUGGCCCCCGGCAAGGGCAUCCUAGCUGCCGAUGAGUCCACUGGUGGGCACUGGGAUGAACUGGGAGGGCACUGGGAGGGACUGGGGGGGGCUGGGAGGGACUGGUUUGGGGCUGGGAGGGACUGGUGGGCGCUGGGAGGGGGUUGACGGGCACUGGGAGGGCACUGGGAGCUGCUGGGAGCUACUGGGAGGCACUGGGGCACCACCAAGAGCCCAGGAGGACGUACUGGGACAUACUGGAUCAUACUGGGACAUACUGGGAUGGCUUCAAGGAGGAUGGGGAGGUGGCCAAGAACCUCGAGGUGGUACCAGGAGGUCCAUGAGAGCUCCUGGGAAGGCACUGGGAGCUACUGGGAGGCACUGGGGCACCAACAGGAGCCCAGGGGGACAUACUAGGACAUACUGGGAUGUACUAGGUCAUACUGGGACAUACUGGGACGGCUUCAAGGAGGAUGGGGAAGUGGCUGAGAACCUUGAGGUGGCACCAGGAGGUCCAUAAGACCUCCUGGGAAGGCACUGGGAGCUACUGGGAGGCGCUGGGGCACCACCAAUAGUCCAGGCGGACAUACUAGGACAUACUGGGAUGUACUGGGUCAUACUGGGACAUACUGGUACAGCUUCAAGGAGGAUGGGGAAGUGGCUGAGAACCUUGAGGUGGCACCAGGAGGUCCAUGAGAGCUCCUGGGAAGGCACCGAGAGCUACUGGUAGGCACUGGGGCACCACCAAUAGUCCAGGGGGACAUACUGGGUCAUACUGGGAUGUACUGGUUCAUACUGGGACAUACUGGUACGGCUUUAGAGAGGAUGGGGAAGUGUCUGAGAACCUCGAGGUGGCACCAGGAGGUCCACGAGAGCUCCUGGGAAGGCACUGGGAGGCACUGGGGCACCACCAAUAGUUCAGGGGGACAUACUGGGUCACACUGGGAUGUACUGGGUCACACUGGGAUGUACU
RNAcentral lists this long non-coding RNA (1403 nucleotides) under Anas platyrhynchos platyrhynchos (common mallard). RNAcentral describes it as "lncRNA (ENSAPLG00000028499.1)". The record is from RNAcentral. Lineage: Eukaryota; Metazoa; Chordata; Aves; Anseriformes; Anatidae.